RNAcentral lists this ribosomal RNA (323 nucleotides) under uncultured soil bacterium. RNAcentral's name for it is "bacterial SSU rRNA". It matches the Rfam family "Bacterial small subunit ribosomal RNA", at positions 26 to 311 of the family's 1533-position model. The record is from RNAcentral.
AGAACGAACGCUGGCGGCGUGGCUAAGGCAUGCAAGUCGUACGGAACCACCUGAGUAGUAAUACAAGGGUGGUUUAGUGGCGGACGGGUGAGUAAUGCAUGGGUAACGUACCUUUAGCUCAGGGAUAGCGUCGGGCCCGCAAGGGUCCUUUGCGAAAGUGACGGUAAUACCUGAUUAAAUCCCGGGAUCGCAUGAUCCUGGUAUCAAAGAUGGGGAUCUUCGGACCUAUCGGCUUUUGAGCGGCCCAUGUCCUAUCAGCUAGUUGGUGAGGUAACGGCCCACCAAGGCUUUGACGGGUAGCCGGCGUGAGAGCGCGACCGCAC